CCUACGGGAGGCAGCAGUAGGGAAUCUUCCGCAAUGGACGAAAGUCUGACGGAGCAACGCCGCGUGAGUGAAGAAGGUUUUCGGAUCGUAAAACUCUGUUGUUAGGGAAGAACAAGUGCCGUUCGAAUAGGGCGGCGCCUUGACGGUACCUAACCAGAAAGCCACGGCUAACCACGUGCCAGCAGCCGCGGUAAU
This 195-nucleotide ribosomal RNA is filed under the name Firmicutes bacterium P19. Its description in RNAcentral is "partial 16S ribosomal RNA". It matches the Rfam family "Bacterial small subunit ribosomal RNA", at positions 338 to 524 of the family's 1533-position model. The record is from RNAcentral. Lineage: Bacteria; Bacillati; Bacillota.